This 426-nucleotide ribosomal RNA is filed under the name uncultured prokaryote. RNAcentral's name for it is "bacterial SSU rRNA". It matches the Rfam family "Bacterial small subunit ribosomal RNA", at positions 355 to 796 of the family's 1533-position model. The record is from RNAcentral.
UGGGGAAUUUUCCGCAAUGGGCGCAAGCCUGACGGAGCAACGCCGCGUGCGGGAGGACGGCCUGUGGGUUGUAAACCGCUUUUAUCAGGGAAGAAGUUCUGACGGUACCUGAUGAAUCAGCAUCGGCUAACUCCGUGCCAGCAGCCGCGGUAAGACGGAGGAUGCAAGCGUUAUCCGGAAUUAUUGGGCGUAAAGGGCACGUAGGCGGUCUAGUAAGUCCGAUGUUAAAGCGUGGGGCUCAACCCCAUCACGGCGUUGGAUACUGCUAGGCUUGACGACUGGAGAGGUGAGUAGAAUUACCAGUGUAGCGGUGGAAUGCGUAGAUACUGGUAGGAAUACCCAUUGCGAAGGCAGCUCACUGGACAGUACGUGACGCUGAGGUGCGAAAGUGUGGGGAGCAAACCGGAUUAGAUACCCCCGUAGUCC